Molecule: long non-coding RNA, 2387 nt
Organism: Capra hircus (goat)
Lineage: Eukaryota; Metazoa; Chordata; Mammalia; Artiodactyla; Bovidae
Exons: 6
Source: RefSeq, a predicted model, not a curated record
CUCGUGGCGGUGCUUCGCUCCUCGCCGGCCGCCACCUAUCCGCGACGCCUCGGCCCGCCCCUACAGCGGCCCAACUUGUCUGGAGUUGAAGUCCUGAGCGCCUGGCCCCUGCAUUCGGCCAACGGAGAACCCCGCAACGCCGCCUCGCCUCCGGGAUCCCCCGCUCCGCUCGUCUCCGCUCCCUCGAAGCCAAAAGUUGGCUUCGAGGAAGCGGCUCCUCAGCCCAGUUAAGCGCGCUCCUAGCCGGGGCGGGGCUCUCGGCCACCCGCGCCCCAGGAGCCUGAGGCGGCGGCUCUGCCGGGUCCUGUGGUGCCAGAGUUCCUCCCCUGGUAUCCUCUCACCAGUCGCUGCGAGUACGGGCUCCUGGCCCCGCCUCCUCGUCCCAGAGCGGUGCAAGGGGAGCAGGUGCAGAUGGAGCAGGGGUAGAAGACCCGGGGUCUUUGGGCGGCGGGCGCGGAGCCUCUAGAGCGAGCGUGAGAAGAAGCCACAGGCUGCCCGGGUGGAGGAGGGAGGCUGACAGCACGGUGGCGGCGCCAGGGACCCCGCCGCACAGAGGCAGCUCCGCUGUCCAGGCCGCCAGCCGGGUCCUGAUGAAGAAUGCAAGUGUAAUGUGGCCUGGAAGGCAAGAUGCUACUGAAUAAAACAAAGCAUAUGUGGAGAUAUUUGCUGAGCACCUAGUAUGUUCCAGACACUGACUAGGAGGUGUAUGUGAACUGGUACCAAAAGUUAUGAACAUUUGUGUAAGGCAAUAGAAGAUGCAUGUCAUCUGAUGACAAAACUGCUCAAUAAGUAAAGGUUGUAGACAGAAUUUUUGUUUUGGCUGCAGCCUGCGUUCUCUGUCAGGGACCUCCGUGUUGGGAGAGAAGCAUGGAGGUUGGGCACCGAGCUCCUGGGUUUGAGAAGAACCUAUACAAAUUACCUUGUUAUCCAGGAAGAUGUACAGAAGCUACCAUUUGCUUUCACCUUGCUGGCUGCUGACCCUAAAGAAGUAGCACAGACACCAUGGACACUCACCUUAAGAUAGUGCUACUGAGUUAAGUUAUCAGAGCAGCAACACCAGCAACUACAAUCAGGGGCCAAAGGCCAGAAACCAUGGAUGAGAAAGACCACCCCUCCUGCCCAGUCCUCUUCUGUGCUGCUGGGUUUUCUCUGACAGGAAUGCAUGCAUUUCUUCAGGAGCCCCGUAGCCAAGAGCACAGCAGUUUUCUUGGAACCAGAGGCAGAAGGCUCCUGCUCCCUUGUGACUCAUAUUCUCACUCAGCACCCAAGCAUGUCUUUAUUUGGUGAAGUUCACAGCCUUUCCCUUCCUGCCUCAGCAGCUACUGUCCCAGCCUCAGCCCCAGUCAUGAAAAGUGUGGUUGCUAUGUGGAUCAUGUCUCAGGCAAUUCAGAAAGCCUUUCAGAGAACAGAACUUUGGAUUUGACUGUGACUUCGGCUACGACUCUCUCUUUCUCCUAGAAAACUAUUGUGUUGGAUGAAGCAAGAAGGUGCAAGCUGUAAUACUGUCAUGAAAGCCAAAGGCUGAGGAAGAAGUUGCCAUUCCUCCUUCCUGUUUACCACUCCAAGAUAUAUUUCCUGAAUCCUUUUUAGAGUUAUUGGUAUCCUAGCUUUAUACAUAUACCCUGGUAUUUGAAUACAUAUACUGGUGCUCACAGCAUUGGCUUAAAGUUAGUGGUUCUACUACUCUCUAGCUGUAUGACUUGGGCAUUCAGUUCUCUCUGAGCCUCAACUUCCUCAUCUUUAUGAUGGGAAUGGUCAUGUCUGUCUGCUUGCCUGGUCAAGUAAAAUCUCAGCUUCAUAUUUCUGAUACCUUAGGGUCCCCUACCUGAGUAGGAAGCUUACAUGUUACUUAACACAGCUUUUGCUGCUAAAGAUGACCAUUCCUUCAUCAGCCUCCUGGACAGAUGAUCCUCUAGUGUCAAGACUGACCUCUGAAGGGUUGGGAAGCUGCCCUCCUCAGGAGCUCAGAUAGUAAGUUGUUCUUUGUGCUGAUCUGAAAUCUGAACUCUCCAGUAACUUUUGCCUGCUGGUUUCUGUGUCUGGAUAACAGGACAUUUAACCUCAAAGUCUUCUGUAUACUGAAGACUACUGUAAAAAGUACCGUUAUUUUUUAAGCUGGAUAUCAAGUCAUCUUUUCAGCUCCUUUGCCUGCUCUGCCCUUGGGGUUCUGAUCUGGAUUGACUGCAUGGAACAGAACAUGGUGCCAGGUGUUCUUGAACAUUCUCAAUGGUCUUUGUAGCAUUGGUAAUAAAACAUUCCCUGAUGACCCUAGAAGCAAGUCUGAUUAUUACUAAUGGUAACUGUCCCCACCCAUAGUGAGUCUGCUCAAAUCCCAGAGCCAUGAUUGGCAAAUCAUGUUUCUUAAUAUUCUUUAAAUUAUUUUUAAC